UGGGUAAUCUACCCUCGGUUUCGGGAUAGCCGGGAAACCCGGAUUAAUACCGAAUGGCCUCUCGAGCUCUCGGGCUUGAGAGAAAAGGUAGCUUCGGCCUCUGUACCGAGGAUGAGCCCGCGGCCGAUUAGCUAGUUGGUGGGGUAAUGGCCCACCAAGGCGACGAUCGGUAGCUGGUCUGAGAGGACGAUCAGCCACACGUGGGACUGAGACACGCCCGGGANACCUCCGUACGGGGAGCAG
This 243-nucleotide ribosomal RNA is filed under the name uncultured bacterium. RNAcentral describes it as "partial 16S ribosomal RNA". It matches the Rfam family "Bacterial small subunit ribosomal RNA", at positions 118 to 351 of the family's 1533-position model. The record is from RNAcentral.